GUGGGGAAUAUUGGACAAUGGGGGGAACCCUGAUCCAGCCAUGCCGCGUGUGUGAAGAAGGCCUUUUGGUUGUAAAGCACUUUAAGCGAGGAGGAGGCUACCGAGAUUAAUACUCUUGGAUAGUGGACGUUCCUCGCAGAAUAAGCACCGGCUAACUCUGUGCCAGCAGCCGCGGUAAUACAGAGGGUGCAAGCGUUAAUCGGAUUUACUGGGCGUCAAGCGCGCGUAGGUGGCCAAUUAAGUCAAAUGUGAAAUCCCGGAGCUUAACGUGGGAAUUGCAUUCGAUACUGGUUGGCUAGAGUAUGGGAGAGGAUGGUAGAAUUCCAGGUGUAGCGGUGAAAUGCGUAGAGAUCUGGAGGAAUACCGAUGGCGAAGGCAGCCAUCUGGCCUAAUACUGACACUGAGGUGCGAAAGCAUGGGGAGCAAACAGGAUUAGAUACCCUAGUAGUCC
Molecule: ribosomal RNA, 451 nt
Filed under: uncultured bacterium
Lineage: Bacteria
Description: partial 16S ribosomal RNA
Rfam family: Bacterial small subunit ribosomal RNA
Source: RNAcentral